AUUUUGAUAAUUAAACCGUAGACAGCGGGUGCGAAAGCUUAAUUUCCCGCCGAGGUACAAUAUAAAAUAUUGACCUUGCACGUUUGCGGAAUAUAUGAGAAAAGCACAAGCGGGCAAGGUUUUUUUAU
RNAcentral lists this small RNA (128 nucleotides) under pig gut metagenome. Its description in RNAcentral is "Ribosomal protein L10 leader". It matches the Rfam family "Ribosomal protein L10 leader". Rfam says of the family: This family is a putative r-protein leader autoregulatory structure found in B. subtilis and other low-GC Gram-positive bacteria. The record is from RNAcentral.